This 13387-nucleotide long non-coding RNA is filed under the name Zostera marina. RNAcentral's name for it is "long non-coding RNA (ZMAR_LNC003420)". The record is from RNAcentral. Lineage: Eukaryota; Viridiplantae; Streptophyta; Magnoliopsida; Alismatales; Zosteraceae.
AGUGUUGUUUGCUUUAAUAUUCCACUCCUCUAAUCACCUCUAAUGUGUGUCCACUUUGGUUGAGAGGGUUGUCUCAAUAGUACCAAAGUGUGAGAGAAGGUUUUUGAGCUCAAUCAUAAAGCUCUAGUUUGGUUUUAUAGAGUUUCCGGGAAAACUCUUAGAUCGAAUCUACCUUGAAAGAUUUCUAGGUUUUUAAAAGUUUAUUGAUACUUUAAGGUAUUAACUUACCCGUAAAAGUUAGAGGUUUUUAAGAGUUUCUUUGAUACUCUAAGGUGUGAGUCUACCCGUAAAAGACUGGUUCCUAAGCGAAGUAGCCUUAAAGCUUAGAGAGGUUUUUAAGAGUUCCUUGAUACUCUAAGGUACUAACUUACCCGUAAAAGUUGGAGGUUUUUAAGAGUUCCUUUGAUACUCUAAGGUGUGAGUCUACUCGUAAAAGACUAGUUCCUAAGCGAAAUUAGCUUUAAAGCUUAGAGAGGUUUUUAAGAGUUUCCUUGAUAUUCUAAGGUUUUGCCAUAACCUUUAGGCUAGUGAAUUUCGAUAGUUGGUCGGGACUGGAUUAGCCCUUGUUUGGGUGAACCAAUAUAAAUUUUCUUGUGUUGUUCUUUGUUAACUUUAAUGUUUAUCUUUCAUCUAAAAACAACUAAACAAUACUUAAUUGAAAAGGAUCCCUCUUCUAGUUAUCUGGUCAAAUACAGAGGUUGACUACUUUACGCAGAUCCCUCAUCAAGUUAUCUGGUCAACUAUCUGAAGUUAUAUUCAUUGCUUUAAAUUUUUACUCAGAUAUUUGUUCAAAUAUUUACUUAUCAAAUAUAUAUCCAGUUAUCUGGUCAUUUACUCUAUAUCUUGCUUAUCAAAUAUAUAUCCAGUUAUUUGGUCAUUUACUCUAUCAUAUAACUUGUGUUUAUAAUAUAACUUCGUAUUCAUAUACUAUAGUUGUUUAUAAAACACCAUCUGAAAAGUUGACUCUGUAUUCAUAUACUGGAGAAAACUUCAAGAGAAAAAGGCAAGUACAAUAUAUAAUAUUAUAAUAUAUAAUAUUAUAUUCUUUAAAAUCAUAUAAUAGUAUUAUAUUGCUAACAAUAUUAUACUAUUAUUAUUAUACAAUCAUUUGUGUACUUAAGUGUGUGCAUGUAAUUCCGUUAUUAAUCUGCAUAAAUCGAAAAAAGGCUAUUAUCCCCUCUUAUAGCCUCGGAUCACGAUCCAACAAGUGGUAUCAGAGCCAAGUAUCAUUGAAGUUAGACUAACAUCUUAUAACAACAACUAUGGCACUAAAUGGUGAACUCAACACUGGUCUUGAGUCAAACAAAUCUCCCAGGUUCGGCGGAGUAAAGUAUGACUUCUGGAAAAAUAAGAUAAAGUUAUACUUAAAGUCAAUCAACAAUGGAGUAUGGAAGAUCAUAUUAGAAGAUUAUGAAAUUCCAACUAGCAAUGAAGAGACUUGGGGAGAAAUGGACAUCCUCAUGGAAAACAACAAUUCAAGAGCAUUGAAUGCUCUAUAUGGAGCACUCAAUGAAUCUGAGUACAACAUAAUUCGAUGCUUGGAUACAGCUCACAAGGUAUGGAAAGCAUUGGAAGAUUUGCAUGAAGGAACCUCCCAUGUUAAAGAAAACAAGUUGUUACAUGCUACCUCUCAGUUCGAAAGAUUCUCUAUGAGGGAAGACGAGACUAUCGCAGAAAUGAACAUUAGUCUAUCACAAAUAGUCAAUGUUUUGGCUGGACUAGGAGAUCCAGUAACUGAGAAGGAGCAAGUAAGUAAAAUUAUGAGGAGACUUCCAAACAAGUACUACUCCAAAAGGAAUGCUAUUCAAGAGGCUCAUGAUCUCAACAAACUUACAGUUGUGAAACUCUGUGGAAAUCUGAUGGCUUAUAAAGAAGAAAGAUUCAUCUCUAGAGCUAAAGAAGAAGAAAAAGAUAUUGCUCUUAAAAUUCAAUCUGACAAUGAAACAUCAGAAGAUGAUCUAGCAAUGAUCACCAAUCAUCUGAGAAGAUAUCUGAAAAAGAGGAAAGAGAAGAAAGACUCAAGGUCAAGUCAUCAGAAGUUCGACAGAAGAAUGAGCAAGGACUCAAAAGAACCAAUCUGUUAUCUAUGCGACAAGUCUGGACACAUCAAACCGGAAUGUCCUUUGCUAAAGAAAGAAAAAGAAAAUCAGGUACAAUGGACAAACUCUGACUCGGAUCAAGACGAUUGCCUCAUGGCUCAUGAAAGCGACUCUGAGGUAAGUUUUGUAAAUACUAGAUUUAAUUCUUUAGAAGAAGCAUAUCUAGAAUUAAUGGAAAAAUAUAAAAAUGAGAAAAAAAAUAAAUAAACCAUUAAAACUAGAAUACAUGAAUAAAUCACAUAUAGAUCAAUCUAUUGAAUUAGAAGAAUCACAAAAAGAAUGCAUGCAAUUGAAAGAAAGAAAUCUAAAACUCACAAGUAAAUUAAACAAAGAUGAAGAAAAAAUUAAGAUACUUAAGAGUCAAAACUUUGAAUUGCUUAAAAUUUUAGAAUCUGAAGAAAAUCAACCUAAGGAAAUAGAUGAUGAUAAUAUUGAAUUGUUAGAAUUAAAAAUAGAUAAUUUUGAAGAAGAUAUUAUGUUAAAAGAAAAAGAAACAAUCAUGCUCAAAACAGAAAUAGAAUCUAAGAAUAAAAUCAUACUUGAGCAUGUAAAAACCAUACGAAAAUUAUCUGAAAAAUGUAAUGAUAUGCAAUUACAAAUCAAAAAAAUAGAUCAAAAGAAUAAUGUUCUUGAAAAAUUCUUAAAUAGUUCAUCUAAGCUAAAUGACAUGUUGCAAGGUUCAAGCUCAGGUCAUAAGAAAUUUGGCUUAGGGUUUGAAUCAGAUGUACCUAUUAAAAAACCUUCACAUGCUUUAACUUAUAAUGAUUAUUUUGUGAAAGAUCUAGCUACAGAAAACCUAUUCAUCUUAAGAAAAAGAAAAUCUAUCUAAGAUGAAUCAUCCAAAACAAAAAUGGAUGACCAAGGAUGAGUUAAAAAAUUAUAAGCAAAUCAACUAUGUUAAUUCAUCUGGACCCAACUCAGUAUGGGUACCAAAAGGUUAUUCAACUCUUUCAGGAAAAAUAUGUGUCAAAAUGGUUGUUCGACAGUGGAUGCACAAGGCACAUGACUGGAGAUUCAAGUCUGCUGACAGAUUUGACCGACUGACCUACUACUAAGAAGGUCAAGUUCGCCGAUAACAACGAAGGUACCAUUAUAGGUAGGGGUAAUAUAGGUAAUAUAGAUAUACCAUUUUUUAGAGAUGUUUACAUAGUUAAUGACCUUAAACAUAAUCUUAUCAGCAUAAUGAUUGCAUAGUUAAAUUUGAAAAAAAAAUCUAUGAUCAAUCAUUAACUCCAAGAGAGUUAUAAUUGCUAAAGGAUAUAGGAAAAACAAUGUUUAUUACAUAACCUUUAAUCCCUCCAAGCCAACUCAUGACUUAUGCAUGAUUGCAGCAAGUGAUGAAAAGACCUUAUGGCAUAGAAGUUUAGGUCACACCAGUUAUUCUCGAUUAUCCAAACUAUCAAAAGAAGAACUGGUGACUGGGCUGCCUAAAAUAGCAUAUGAGAAAAGUAAUCUCUGUGAUGCUUGUCAAAAAGGGAAACAACAUAAAAGCUCAUUCAAAUCCCUUACAGAUAUGACUACGUCCAGACCUUUGGAACUUCUACACAUGGACUUGUUUGGGCCAACCUAAACCCAAAGUCUUGGCGGAAAAAGGUUCACGUAUAUAAUCAGAAGUGAUCAUGGAGGAGAAUUCGAGAACUCUGAGUUUGAAGAAUUUUGCAAAACUCAUGGAAUAAAACAUGAAUUUGCUUUUCCCCAAGCAUCCCCUCAGAAUGGAGUUAUUGAAAGGAAAAACAGAAUUCUACAAGAGAUGAGUAGAUCCAUGUUACAAGAACAUGAUUCACCACAGUAUCUCUGGGCAGAAGCUGUUAGCACAGCCUGUUAUAUAUUAAACAAAGUGAUUAUUAGAAAAACCUUGAACAAAACUCCAUAUGAGAUCUGGAAUGGAAGAAAACCAAAAGUCUCAUACUUCAAGGUCUUCGGAUGCAAAUGCUAUGUUCUACGAACAAGAGGCAACCAAGACAAAUUUGCUCAGAAAUCUGAUGAAGGUAUCCUGGUAGGAUACUCUAGAAGGAGCAAAGCCUACAAAAUUCUUCUCAAAGAAAAACAAAUAAUGAUCGAAUCAUUACAUGUUGACUUUGAUGAAUCCACUCAGACAACCAUUGUAGAAGAAGAUAAAAUAGUUCCAGAACCAGAAAUCAUCAUUCCAACUGAAGAAACUACCAAUGACGAAAUCGAAGUCUCUGAGCCUCCAUCCAACAGGUUUCUCAGAAACCCACAUUCCACUGAUCAAAUCAUUGGUGACCAUCAAGCUGGUGUUAGAACCAGAUCAUCCAUUCAAGGAAACAAUGUUCUUGACUGUUUUGUCUCUCAAAUUGAGCCCAAGAAAGUUGAUGAAGCCCUCGAUGACAACUACUGGAUUCAAGCUAUGCAAGAAGAACUCAACCAAUUUGAGAGAAAUGAUGUAUGGGAACUAGUUCCAAAACCAAAAGAUACAUCAAUCAUUGGGACAAGAUUGGUAUUCAGAAACAAGCAGGAUGAAGAUGGAACUAUAGUCAGAAAUAAAGCUAGACUGGUUGCUCAAUGAUACAAUCAACAAAAAGGAAUUGAUUAUGAUGAAACCUUUGCACCAGUAGCUAGACUAGAAUCUAUCAGAAUGCUCCUAUCCUUUGCAUGCUACAAGGAUUUCAAAUUAUAUCAAAUGGAGGUAAAGAGUGCAUUCUUGAAUGGAAUAGUCAAUGAGCAAGUAUAUGUCAGACAACCCCCCGGAUUCGAAGAUUACAAAAACCCUGAUCAUGUCCUUAAACUUUAGAAAGCCCUUUAUGGUCUGAAACAAGCACCCCGAGCUUGGUAUGAAAGACUAAGAAACUUUCUCAUUUCUCAGGAAUUUAGAAUGGGGAGUAUAGAUAACACAUUGUUCAUUAAAAAUGUCAAAAGUGACAUUAUUCUAAUCCAAAUCUAUAUGUUGAUGACAUUAUAUUUGGAUCAACCGAUGAUAUUCUAUGAAAGAAAUUUUCUAAACAAAUCGAAGACGAAUUUGAAACGAGUAUGAUAGGAGAGUUGACUUUUUUCUAAGGUCUACAAGUCAAACAGAAGGAGAAUGGAAUAUUCCUUAGUCAAGUAUGCUAAGAAAUUGAUAAAGAAAUUUGACUUGACUGAAUCAAAAUCUAUGCCAACUCCUAUGAGUUCAACACUUAAAUUGGAUAAAGAUGUUGAAGGUCAAUCAGUAGACAUUAAAAAAUAUAAAGGAAUGAUUGGAUCACUGCUAUACUUAACAGCUAGCAGGCCAGAUACCAUGUUUGCAGUCUACUUAUGUGCCGGAUUCCAAUCAGACCCAAAAGAGUCACAUCUCAAAGCGGUUAAAAGAAUAAUCAGGUAUAUCAAAGGAAUAAUUACACUUGGAUUAUUCUACCCUAAGGACAACUCAUUCACACUGACAGCAUACUGUGAUGCUGACUUUGGUGGAUGUAAGACUGACAGAAAAGGCACUAGUGGAACAUGCUUUCUGUUAGGAAGCUCACUCGUAGCAUGGUCAUGUAAAAAGCAAAAUAGUAUUGCUUUAUCCACAACAGAAGCAGAAUAUAUGGCAGCAUCUAAUGCAUGCACUCAAAUUUUGUGGAUGAAACAAACAUUAUCCGACUAUGAUGUAGCUUUAGAAACAGUAGCUCUUAAAUGUGACAACAAGAGUGCAAUUUGUUUAUCAAAAAACUCUGUGUUACAUUCAAGAUCUAAACACAUUGAUGUCAGACAUCAUUUCCUUAGAGAUCAUGUAGAAAAGAAAAAUAUCUGCCUAGAAUAUAUUUCUACCGAAGAUCAAAUGGCUGACGCCUUCACUAAACCUUUAGAUCAAGAAGUUCAUUCAAAAAUCAGAAGAUCUAUGGGUAUAUGUCAGCUUAGUGAAAUUUGAUUAGUUAUGAGUUAUUGCAUCUCAAGCUUUAGUUUUAAUAUUCUUCACUUGAAUAUCCUUAUAUACUUAUAACAUUGAUCAUAACUCAAAUUAAAAUCAUAUUAAAAUGAAUAUACGUAUGCAUGAUUUUAAAAGUUAAAAUCUAAUAUUUACAUGACUAAGUAUAUACAUGCUACUAGAAACUACAUGAUUUAAAUAACUAUCGGAUAAAUGCAUGCCUGGUAAAGUAAAUAUUACAAUAUUAUGCAUGUACACGUAUAUGGUCUUUAAAGAUAUAAAAACACAUGUUUUGAGUUUAGCAUGAUACUAUGACUUAUCCUAUAAAUGCAUGUUAAUACUUAUCGAUGAAUCUUAUGAUAUGCAAUCAUAUAUGAAUCUAUAAGUAAAUGAAUCAUAUGCAUGCAUGAUGAUAUAAAAUACUUAAAUACAUGAUAAUCAAACAACUGAUUUUGACUUACGUGUAUAACUAUUUAACUCAUGCAUAUUCCAUGUCAUCACAUACAUAAUUGAGAAAAUUAUAAGAUUAAUCCUAUGUUGCACACAUACUACAUAAUGUUAUAUCCUACUUUAAGAAAAAUCAACAAACAUCACAUGGUAUUGGUAAACCAAACACUAUCAUAUGGUAUUGAAAUCUCCGUCUGCACAUUCUGCAACCUCGAAGCUUCUACUCACAAAACCCAAUUCGAGUUCUGUAAAUCUCAGAAGCACGAUCGGAAGUAGACAAUCUCGAUCUGCUCAAACCUGCACGAAUGACAACUCACCUGCAAGACUUCGGCAACCACGUCGCCUGCAGCAGCCGAAUUUUUCAUGCUCUGCCAAAUUACUUGCGAUUCACACUCAGUCAAUGCAAAAUCCGAAAAGAAAAUCCUCAACAUUGGAGCACUUGCAACACAGACAGGAUCUACCAAAAGGUGUUUUGAGACCACCAAAAGGUAUGUUUUAAAUUAACUAUUAUUCAGUUUGCAGCUUUCAAUAAUAGAUAAGAAGAGGACAUGAUGAGACAACUCAGCAUUAUCUAUUAUCAAGUAAAGUUAGAAUCUUAAUCUUACUAAGAUACAAGUCACUAAAAUAUAAGCCCUGCUAGGAUCCUAGCUAGGCUUAGACAAUAGUUUCAAAACAUCAUCUUCAUUACUUGUUAAACCCUAACAAGUUAUGUCAGUUUAUUGGUAUAAGUUUAUGGGAAAUCGAAAAACUCUCUUGAGAAAGAGACUACAGGAUAAAAUCAGACGAUUUUCAUGGUCUAGUCAAACCAAGAAACUCUUGGAAACUAAAGUAGAAGUGUAAACCUAAAAAGCUUGAAAGCAUUAUCUAUAAAUACAAGGUUAUUCACUCUCAAACCAAAACCUUCCCUUCUCACCCAUUUCUACUAUCUUCAAAAUGGAUCCAGACUGGAAAAAGGUAAUGGAGUUUAUAACAGAUAAAGGGAAGAAGCAAGUAGGUCAAUCAACAACCAAAGAUGACAUAACUACUCACUUGCUUAAGGAGAUCAAUGAGGCAAAAUCAAGGAUUAAAUUGUUGAAGUCAAGUAUUAAAAACCAAGGAGUUCUGAUCGCCGACAUGCAAUAUCAAAUCGAUCUAUAUUGAAAGCUCCCACUGAAGAAGCUAAUACCAUCACUAAUUAACCAUAAUUUUAUCAUGUGUUUUGGUUAGCUUGCUAUGCCUACUCGAUGCCAACUAAGUUAGAUGUUGUUUUGAUCGAUGGUGUUCAAACACCACUCCAACAUCUGUUGAUAGAUGUUUCUACUUUAUUUAAGUCUGUUUUGUUUGAGGUCCAAUCACAGACCUAAGUCUACUUUAUUCUUUAGUGAAAAACUUCAAUGAAAAAUCAAUUUUCACUAAAUAUUAGAAUACUGCAUAACUUCAAGGGCUUAAGCAUAAAUUAUUUAUGAAGCUUUUUAAGUAGAUUCACUGAAACUUAAAGGUUCAAGUGAUAUUUUACAGUGAAUGAAUAUUUAUUUAAAACUUCAGGGACUUAAAAUUAAUAUUUACAUGAAGUUUUUAAAUCAAAAAAUGCUUAGAAAUAUUUAAUACUUCUAAGGUUUAAAAUGAAAUUUUUUAAGUAUUUAUCAUAACUUCAAAGGGCUUAAAUGAAAUUUUUUAAGUGAAAUUUUAUUAUUAAGACUUUAUGUAACAUCCCGUAUUUUAACAGACAAUAAUGAAAUUAAUGAAACAUGUUCAAUCAUACAACAAAUGACUAACUACCUUUAUUACAAUUCAAAGGGUUCAAAAUGCAAGUAUCAAAAAUGCGAAAACGGUAAACUCCUAAGGAGACCAUGUACGAGACCAUUGUUGUCGCUGCUCCCUUAUCUUAAUCUGCAAUAACAAACAGAACAGAAUGAGUUUUGAAGUCAAAACUCAGUACAGAUAUCAUAUUACUUCCCUUUAUGUUCUUUAUUUCUAGGUUGAUAAACAGACUCGUCUAGCCAGACGUCUUAGGGCUUCAAGCCCCCUCGUAGGAACGACUGUUGUCAUUCCCCAAACACGACUUGUGUGGUGCACAAGCUCGACCAAACUCGAAUUACUCCGAAGAAUAAUUCGACCAGACUGCCCCGUCGGGCCGGUUAGCCUCGUUAGGCUCAAACUCGAAUUCCCCCAUGGUUCACCCGACCAAUAUCCCCAAAGGAUCACAUUAUCAGAUUUAGUCUCUCAGCUCAAAUUCGGGUUCCCCAUGGGUUCAUUCGACCAGACUCCCCCGUCGGGGCACAAUCCAUCAUAUUUUUACUUUUUUAGUUCCAUUCUUUAAUUGUUGGCCUUUGUAUGGUUCGCCUCGUUCAUAUCGAGGUCCGAACUUCCAAUCAUGGAUUCAGGUCAACCAUCUUCCUGAUCCAUUUAUUCCCAACGUACUAGCUAAGUGAGUGCGAACCCAGAAUGAACCUUAAGGUGAAUGAAGGGUUCCCCUCGAGAAAUCCUUGAUUCAACCUAAGUCUCAUCCUCGCCUACUCUCUUAGCCUAGGUCGGAAUUAGACCAUAUGAGCACAGAAGGUCUUCCCGAGGACUCUUGUGCGUCACUAGGUUACUAACCCGACCCCACUCAUACACACCCCAAGGCUUCCGUUUACCUUGGGUUCCCUUCCCUACCAUACAACAAGAAUACUCAUCAACAACUUAUCACAACUAUAUCACAUAUUUCUGUGGUUUGCUAGAUGCAUAUCACCUUAGUCGAUUUCAUAUACAAUAUAACAAGACUACUUAACAAUUGAAAAGAGCAUAAUAUCAUUAACCAAAAUAUAGAUAAGGCAUGCAUAAAAAUCCAUCCACAAAUGGGGCAUCACGUACUACACAACAUGUAUAACCAUGUAGAAACUACGUAUAAUCUCAUCGAACUUGCAUAAGAUAUGUAUAAGGAUCCAUUAUCAUGAGUAACAUCAAAACACAUAAAACUCAUAUUCAAAAAUGUGUAUGAAAUUAUGUGCAAAUCGUAUAAAAAGGUAUAUAAAAGUAUACAUAAAAAUCCAGCGACACAUAGAACAAUAAACACAUCAAAACAAGUGUAGAUAAACAUGUAGGAAACCAUGUAUAAAUCUCGUCUAACUUGAGUAAGACAUGCAUAAGGAUUUAUUAUCAUGAGUAUCAUCAAAACACAUAAAAACCCUAUACAAAAACGUAUAUAAAACUACAUGCAAACCAUAUAAAAAGGUAUCUAAAGUAUGCAUAAAAAUCCAGCAACACCUAGAACAUUAAACACAUCAAAACAAGCAUCGAUAAACAUGUAAGAAAACAUGUAUAAGCCUUGUCAAAAGGUAUAGAAGUACAUGAAUAAAGAUCUAUCAUGAUAUGUAGUACUAAAACAUGUAAAACAAUAUGCAAAAACGUAAGUAAAACUAUGUGCAAAUCAUAUAAACGGUAUAUAAACGUAUGCAUAAAAAUCCAGCAACACAUAGCGUAUCAAACAACCAUGUAUAAGCAUAUAGAAAACUAUCAAAUUUUUCAUAAUAAUGUGGAGACUAGACUUACUCUUACACAUACUUACCACCAUUCCUACAAAAGAAACUAUCAAAGAAGUCUACUACGAUUUCCGUACCUUUCUUUUUCCUAGCUUUUCUCCGAGCUCUAGCUUCUCCUAGCUCCCAAAACGUAUCCUCCCUCUUUUUCUUUUCCUUUUUAUUUUCGUCCACCUCUCUCCCCUAUCUUUUAUAGAUUUCAUUUGGGGCAUCUAGAAUUACUCUAAUAUCUUUGAUUUUUAAAUUUAAGUUAGAGUAUUUUUGUCAUAAUCUUUUCCCCCAAAUCUUCUUAUUAAAUGUUAAUUGCCAUUUCUUUUCUUUCCCUUUUUUAUUCUAGAAUUUUCACUUUAAUUAAUUGGCUCAUUAAUUAGCCAAUUCUUUCCUUGCCUCCUCUUGCCUAACCCUAACCCUAGUCGACCACCUUAAUGGGAUCUAGUCGACUAGCACAUAAUUAAGGUUGGGUUUAAUUGGUUUUAGCCCACUUAAUUAUUGCCCAAUGGGUGUAUUAAUUAAGUUAGUCUAAUGGUUAUUGUAUUAACCCACUAAUGGUAUGUCCCAUGAGUGUAUUAAUUAAGUUAGCCUAAUGGUUAUCACUUUUGUAGUUAACUCCUUAGAAAAAUUCUAAUUGAUGGGUUAAUUGCACAUAAGCCCUUACUGAAUUUUAUUUUUAUAGUUAACCAUUCUACAUGACGGGUUAAUUGCACCUGAAUCCUUACUGAAUUUUCAUGGGUAUUACACUUUAAGGACUGAAAUGAAAAAUUUUAAAUCUUUUAAAAACUUAGUGAAUAUUUACAUGAUUAUACAUUUGUCACUAAGACAGAUUUUAAAUGCUCGAUUUUUCUUAAAGUAAUUAGUGAAUAUUGAUUUAUACAUACAUAUCAUUCACUAAUAUAUAUAUUAUAUGGAUUAUAACAUUAUAAAAUCUUUAAUCCAUACAUGUUAAGAUCAAUUUAUCCAUAACACACAUGGAUUAUUAUUCAUUGCAUGAUCUUAACAUAAGUCAUUUUAAAUUAUCAUACUUGCCUUAUAAUAUACAUCAAAAUUGGCUCCAAAUCCAAUAUUUUAUAAAUGAGUAUAAAUUACAUGUUAUUUCUCCUAUAUGAUUGACUAACACUCUUAUAAGCAAGAAGUCACAUUUGGUCAACUACACAAAUCGAAUUUGUGAUCAAAGCUCAAUAAAGUAUGAAGUUUUAUUUUCUCCACAAAUUAGAUAUGUCCUAUCAUUAAGGGGGAGAUACUUCACAGGUAUCUAUUUUAACUUUGUCGAUACCUUAUUGUUUUAAGGGGGAGAAAUCAUGCAUGAUCCACUGCUUUUAAAUUAAAUAUUAUGGGUCAAUAAUUUAGGGGGAACAUGCUCAUAAGGUAAAAUAAAAUAGACUAGACAUGAAUUAAAACAUAUAUGCCAUCGACAAAGGAGGAGAAUGUAGAAUCAAAAUUGUCGACAUAGGAUUAUAUUUUAAUCAUGUCAAUUUAAACCCUAAUUACACUGUUAAUCUAUAAAGGUUAAAUAAGUCAAUCGAUAAUUAAACCUAACUCCAAUUAAUUAAUUAAUCAUGUGAGUCAAAAGUUUAAUUCAAAGUUAAAAGUCAAAUUGGAACAAUUACAUUUUUACCUUUAAUAUUAUUAUUAUUAUCUUUUGACACUUUAUUCAAGGUAUAAUAUUCCAAGAGGACAAAACACUAUUCACGUUGGACUUUAUUCAAAGAUAAGAUUCUCCAACAAAUACUAUCCAAGAAAGCACUAUUUAAGAUAAGAUCAAAGACAAAGCUUGGAUUUAUAUGAAAAAUCAAAGAGCCAUCCAUUGAAGAUCCAAAGGUGGACAUUGAGUGGCCAAGGCUAUUAAUAGAAGGGUAAUUCCCUCAUUUUCACUCACCACACAACAAGCAAAUCAAAAGAGUUUUUCACUCCACAUUUGAACUCUCCCACGUUUUGCCUCCAAGCUUCCAAGUGCUCAAGUGUCUUAGCUUUCCAAAGCUUCAAAAGCUCUUCAACUUCUUCUAAUUUUCUUGUUCAUCUCUACAAGUAAGAAGUGUUGUUUGCUUUAAUAUUACACUCCUCUAAUGACCUCUAGUGUGUGUCCACUUUGGUUGAGAGUGUUGUCUCAAUAGUACCAAAGUGUAAGAGAAGGUUUUUGAGCUCAACCAUAAAGCUCUAGUUUGGUUUUAUAGAGUUUCCGGGAAAACUCUUAGGUCGAAUCUACCUUGAAAGAUUUUUAGGUUUUUAAGAGUUCCUUGAUACUCUAAGGUACUAGUGUUCCUUAGAUACUCUAAAGUGUGAGUCUACCCGUAAAAGACUGGUUCCUAAGCGAAGUAGCAUUAAAGCUUAGAGAGGUUUUUAAGAGUUCCUUGAUAUUCUAAGGUACUAACUUACCCGUAAAAGUUGGAGGUUUUUAAGAGUUCCUUUGAUACUCUAAGGUGUGAGUCUACUCGUAAAAGACUGAUUUCUAAGCGAAGUUAGCCUUAAAGCUUAGAGAGGUUUUUAAAAGUUUCCUUGAUACUCUAAGGUUUUGCCAUAACCUUUAGGCUAGUGAAUUCUGAUAGUUGGUCGGGACUGGAUUAGCCCUUGUUUGGGUGAACCAGUAUAAAUUCUCUUGUGUUGUUCUUUGUUAACUUUAGUUUUUAUCUUUCAUCUAAAAACAACUAAGCAACACUUAAUUGAAAAGGAUCCCUCUUCCAGUUAUCUGGUCAAAUACAGAGGUUGACUACUUUAGGCAGAUCCCUCAUCCAGUUAUCUAGUCAACUAUCUGAGGUUAUAUUCAUUGCUUUAAAUCUUUACUCAGAUAUUUGUUCAAGCAUUUACUUAUCAAAUAUAUAUCCAGUUAUCUGGUCAUUUACUCUAUAUCUUGUUUAUCAAAUAUAUAUUCAGUUAUCUGGUCAUUUACUCUAUAAUAUAACUUGUGUUUAUAAUAUAACUUGAUAUUCAUAUACUAUAGUUGUUUAUAAAGCACCAUCUGAAAAGUUGACUCUGUAUUCAUAUACUGGAGUAAACUUCAAGAGAAAAAGGCAAGUCCAAUAUAUAAUAUUAUAUUCUAUAAAAUCAUAUAAUAGUAUUAUAUUGCUAACAAUAUUAUACUAUUAUUAUUAUACAACCAUUUGUGUACUUAAAUGUGUGCAGGUAAUUUCGUUAUUAAUCUGCAUAAAUCGAAAAAAAGCUAUUAUCCCCCCUUAUAGCCUCGGAUCACGAUUCAACACAUACUUGGACAAGGGAUUGUCAGGUUGUGAAAAAGAUUGAACAAUUCUGUUAGUCUUGCAUAGUUUGUUCCACCUGGGCAUUUUCAGAACGUUUGGUAAACUUCGGUAACUGUUGACAAUUAGAUAAUGUAUAAGAUGAGAGCAUGGAACCCCGCUGUAUUCAAAUCGAUGACAUGUGCAAGUCGAUGUAGAAUUACCUUUCGUAAGAGUGAGUUUAAAUAACACGGUCUGUCUUUCUAAAGAAAUAACAGGUAGAUAUGUAAUAUCCUUUAGGAAGAAAGAAGAAAUUAUUAAAAAAAAAUUGUUGGG